Molecule: unclassified non-coding RNA, 316 nt
Filed under: uncultured fungus
Lineage: Eukaryota; Fungi
Description: partial contains small subunit ribosomal RNA, internal transcribed spacer 1, and 5.8S ribosomal RNA
Rfam family: Eukaryotic small subunit ribosomal RNA (bases 1-73)
Source: RNAcentral
UCAAACUUGGUCAUUUAGAGGAAGUAAAAGUCGUAACAAGGUUUCCGUAGGUGAACCUGCGGAAGGAUCAUUACCGAAUGACGUGCACCUCUUUGUAGUGGGCCAACUGAUUGCUCUUCGCCCGCCGAUCGCACCCACACGUGUGAUUAUGGGUCGAGUCGGUCAGAGCGGUCCACUGUGACCCCUUUUUUUCCACCAAGCAAACCUGUCAUCGUAUGAUUGUGGCAUCCUCUUGUUGGUUGCCCUGCAAUAUAUAAACAUGAAUAUAACUUUCAACAACGGAUCUCUUGGCUCUCGCAUCGAUGAAGAACGCAGC